AGUUUUCUUCUUGCUAGGGGGGGGCGUAACAGAAAAUAAUUGAGAAGCACUGGUUUAACCGGAGGCAAAUCCGGAGGGGUCCACUGCACCGAUGUGACCAAUGCUAGCCGGACCAUGUUGUUCAAUAUUCACACGAUGGACUGGGACCCGGAGCUGUGCAAAUAUUUUGGUAUCCCAAUGGAGAUUCUGCCCCGAGUGAGAAGUUCCUCUGAAAUCUACGGCCUCAUGGCCUGAUAGCAUCGCACUAAAGUGGGUCUGGCAACAAAAGCAGCACACGCCUUCUUUCCAAGCGUGCACAAACACACAUGGACUUGGUGAUAAGAAGGAGCAUGGUGCACGGAUGCUGCAGCCGCUACUCAAUCUGGUUCAAUCAAGGAGUUAGACAUCAGAAUUACACUUGGAGCGUUCACAAACAACACAAAAAUCAACACAACAAACAUUUCUGGGUACAUGUUAAGGUCGUUUCAUCUUCGCAUGGUAUAGAAUAGAUCUUUAUUUGUCAUUGUCACAUGUACAACGAAAUUUAAAAAGUGCCAACCGAUCAGCGCAUGAGAUAAAAAAAUAAAUAGAAUAAAAAGAUGAAAAAAAAAAUACAAGCUAAAAAGCCACAGAAGACCAUACACAGACAUAAUCAUAAACAUAUCGGUUAGUUGGAAUCAAAUCCUUCAAAAAGGUUUUCAACAAUCCAGAAGGAAAACGGAAAUAGAAUUAAUCAUGGAUGGACAACAAUUAAAUACACUUGUCAUGGACUGUAGGAAAAAAAAAAAAAAGGUGAGUAGUAAACUCAAAAUUUCAAGGCAAUAAAGUCGGCAUGUUUAAAUUUGGCACGUUCAACAAAAAAAAAAUUGCAAAGUUGGAAAUUGGCUUUUUCUCGAUUUCAACAAAGAAAUAAGAGUUGCCGGAACUCAUUUGACUCAAUAUUGUCUUAAAGAUAAAUCAAAACAACUUGUUUGCUGUCAUAAACGCCAAUCAUUGACAUUUUGAAGUUAUCCCAACUCAACUUAUUGUUUCCAUCCCCGAAACUACAAGUUGUGUUUCUCACGACGAAUUAAUAAACCUGCUCAUCCGCUCAACAUUAAAUUGAAAUGUCAAAUAUGUCCCUGGGCUGAAUCAAGAUUGCGAAACACACAAAUGGCAUGAAAGGCAUAUUGCGUAGAUGAUGACAUUUACAUAAGACGUUGACAGCCGGCUGUACUGGACUCAUGGAAGAAACGACUUGAGCGUUCCAAAAGCAAGUCAUUCAAAUCCAAAAAGAAUAAUUCGACUGUUUCACAUGGCCAAACUUGACAGGCCUCCGGCUGAGGUGACGAGUUCAACACUUUGGCGUCUGAUGGAGGCCUUGACUGAACUCCAUGACUGAUCACAUCUCUGGAGGCCCGCCAUUGUGCCCCUCCCCACUCUGUCCCCUUACCUCACCGCCACCUUUCUUUCAUUCUUCCCUUUUGUACUGCGAGAUGCUGAGAGGAAGAGAAGAUGGAGGUGGGGAGGAACCUUUUGUUGCAUCCCCCCCCCCCCCCUUCCUCCACAAACAAAUCGAUCGGGAUAUUUUCAAUUACAAAGGAAAUACGACGAGGGAGAUAGACGAAGGGUGAGGAGGUGAAGUGGCUCAGGCGGUGAUUGAGUGGCAAGCUAGUGAAUGGUGCGAGGAGCUCAGGUAGCAAGUCCACGGUGAGUGCUCGCUCUCAAGUUAGUGUCAGGUAUCAGGUAGCUACUUGUCUGGGUCUUCAAGGCAGCCGCUGCUUGGAUCAUGUUUGCAGUGGAGAGAGAGGAGAGAAGGGAGAGAGAGAGAGAGAGAGAGAGAGAGAGAGAGAGAGAGAGAGAGAGAGAGAGAGAGAGAGAGAGAGAGAGAGAGAGAGAGAGAGAGAGAGAGAGAGAGAGAGAGAGAGAGAGAGAGAGAGAGAGAGAGAGAGAGA
Long non-coding RNA from Syngnathus typhle (broad-nosed pipefish), 1913 nucleotides. RefSeq lists it as uncharacterized. The transcript has 3 exons. Lineage: Eukaryota; Metazoa; Chordata; Actinopteri; Syngnathiformes; Syngnathidae. The record is from RefSeq and is a predicted model, not a curated record.